UACGUAGGGUGCGAGCGUUGUCCGGAAUUACUGGGCGUAAAGAGCUCGUAGGUGGUUUGUCGCGUUGUUCGUGAAAUCUCACGGCUUAACUGUGAGCGUGCGGGCGAUACGGGCAGACUGGAGUACUGCAGGGGAGACUGGAAUUCCUGGUGUAGCGGUGGAAUGCGCAGAUAUCAGGAGGAACACCGGUGGCGAAGGCGGUUCUCUGGGCCUUACCUGACGCUGAGGAGCGAAAGCGUGGGGAGCAAACAGG
RNAcentral lists this ribosomal RNA (253 nucleotides) under uncultured bacterium. RNAcentral describes it as "partial 16S ribosomal RNA". It matches the Rfam family "Bacterial small subunit ribosomal RNA", at positions 524 to 776 of the family's 1533-position model. The record is from RNAcentral.